GAACGGGUGAGUAACACGUGGGCAAUCUGCCCUGCACUCUGGGACAAGCCCUGGAAACGGGGUCUAAUACCGGAUACUGAUCCUCGCAGGCAUCUGCGAGGUUCGAAAGCUCCGGCGGUGCAGGAUGAGCCCGCGGCCUAUCAGCUAGUUGGUGAGGUAACGGCUCACCAAGGCGACGACGGGUAGCCGGCCUGAGAGGGCGACCGGCCACACUGGGACUGAGACACGGCCCAGACUCCUACGGGAGGCAGCAGUGGGGAAUAUUGCACAAUGGGCGAAAGCCUGAUGCAGCGACGCCGCGUGAGGGAUGACGGCCUUCGGGUUGUAAACCUCUUUCAGCAGGGAAGAAGCGAAAGUGACGGUACCUGCAGAAGAAGCGCCGGCUAACUACGUGCCAGCAGCCGCGGUAAUACGUAGGGCGCAAGCGUUGUCCGGAAUUAUUGGGCGUAAAGAGCUCGUAGGCGGCUUGUCACGUCGGUUGUGAAAGCCCGGGGCUUAACCCCGGGUCUGCAGUCGAUACGGGCAGGCUAGAGUUCGGUAGGGGAGAUCGGAAUUCCUGGUGUAGCGGUGAAAUGCGCAGAUAUCAGGAGGAACACCGGUGGCGAAGGCGGAUCUCUGGGCCGAUACUGACGCUGAGGAGCGAAAGCGUGGGGAGCGAACAGGAUUAGAUACCCUGGUAGUCCACGCCGUAAACGGUGGGCACUAGGUGUGGGCAACAUUCCACGUUGUCCGUGCCGCAGCUAACGCAUU
RNAcentral lists this ribosomal RNA (750 nucleotides) under Streptomyces rochei. Its description in RNAcentral is "bacterial SSU rRNA". It matches the Rfam family "Bacterial small subunit ribosomal RNA", at positions 100 to 861 of the family's 1533-position model. Lineage: Bacteria; Bacillati; Actinomycetota; Actinomycetes; Kitasatosporales; Streptomycetaceae. The record is from RNAcentral.